AGUGAACGCUGGCGGUAGGCCUAACACAUGCAAGUCGAACGGCAGCACAGUAAGAGCUUGCUCUUACGGGUGGCGAGUGGCGGACGGGUGCGGAAUACAUCGGAAUCUACUUUUUCGUGGGGGCUAACGUAGGGACACUUACGCUAAUACCGCAUACGACCUACGGGUGAAAGCAGGGGAUCUUCGGACCUUGCGCGAUUGAAUGAGCCGAUGUCGGAUUAGCUAGUUGGCGGGGUAAAGGCCCACCAAGGCGACGAUCCGUAGCUGGUCUGAGAGGAUGAUCAGCCACACUGGAACUGAGACACGGUCCAGACUCCUACGGGAGGCAGCAGUGGGGAAUAUUGGACAAUGGGCGCAAGCCUGAUCCAGCCAUACCGCGUGGGUGAAGAAGGCCUUCGGGUUGUAAAGCACUUUUGGUGGGAAAGAAAAGCAGCAGGUUAAUACCCCGCUGUUCUGACGGUACCAAAAGAAUAAGCACCGGCUAACUUCGUG
Molecule: ribosomal RNA, 492 nt
Filed under: uncultured bacterium
Lineage: Bacteria
Description: partial 16S ribosomal RNA
Rfam family: Bacterial small subunit ribosomal RNA
Source: RNAcentral